Molecule: long non-coding RNA, 333 nt
Organism: Mesocricetus auratus (golden hamster)
Lineage: Eukaryota; Metazoa; Chordata; Mammalia; Rodentia; Cricetidae
Exons: 2
Source: RefSeq, a predicted model, not a curated record
GCUCCACUGUGUCUUCCAUCUGAUUUCUUCGUGAGAAAUACAAAGUCCUGAGAAUCAUGAGUUGUUGUUUCUGUCACCAGUAGAAGGGCAUUUCACCCCUUACACUGACUUAACAGGGAAAAAUGAGAGCCUGAUAAAAUUGUUAGCAAGCAAGGACACAAUAAAAAGGACAGAAGAAGCUGAUGAACCAGAGAGUUUGGCUGGAGAAUGAAUGCCUGAUCUGAGCCUUAUCUUCAGUGUGGCCAGUGAAUCAACCCCUCCUAGAGAAUACAGAAAACCCUCCUUCUGUCUUUUAUACCCCUCUAGUGCUGGGAUUAAACACAUGUGAUCUGU